This 1343-nucleotide ribosomal RNA is filed under the name Myxidium milleri. Its description in RNAcentral is "SSU rRNA". It matches the Rfam family "Eukaryotic small subunit ribosomal RNA", at positions 351 to 1762 of the family's 1831-position model. Lineage: Eukaryota; Metazoa; Cnidaria; Myxozoa; Bivalvulida; Myxidiidae. The record is from RNAcentral.
UGUGACGGUACGGGGAUCAGGGUUCGAUUCCGGAGAGGGAGCCUGAGAAACGGCUACCACAUCUAAGGACGGCAGCAGGCGCGCAAAUUACCCAAUCCAAACACUGGGAGGUAGUGACGAGAAAUACCAAAGUGUGCCGAAAGGGACACUAUUGGAAUGAACGUAACAUAGUACCUUCGAUGAGUACCUACUGGAGGGCAAGUCUGGUGCCAGCAGCCGCGGUAAUUCCAGCUCCAGUAGUGUAUAUCAAAAUUGUUGCGGUUAAAACGCUCGUAGUUGGAUUACAAGGGUUGUGCGUCGAGAAAUCACUUUGAUUUUCCGGCGUGGGGCCUUUUUAUCGCAAGAACCGUGUGUGUGCUUCAUCGUGUAUGCACGGCCACUUGCGGAGCGUGCCUUGAAUAAAGCACAGUGCUCAAAGCAGGCGUAACGCUUGAAUGUUGUAGCAUGGAACGAAUACUCUGAUUCGAGUUCGAUUGGUUCUCUGAACUGGGUCAUGAUUAAAAGGGACAUUUGAGGGCGUUAGUACUUGGUGGCGAGAGGUGAAAUUCUUAGACCCACCAAAGACUCACAAAUGCGAAAGCAUUCGCCAAAAAUGUUUUCAUUAAUCAAGAACGAAAGUUAGAGGUUCGAAGACGAUCAGAUACCGUCCUAGUUCUACACAGUAAACUAUGCCACCACGAGACUAGUCCGGAGGACAGUCCAGGUUGGUCUCCCAAGGAAACUGAAAGCUUUCGGGUUCCUCGGGGAGUACGGUCGCAAGACUGAAACUUAAAGGAAUUGACGGAAGGGCACCACCAGGAGUGGAGCCUGCGGCUUAAUUUGACUCAACACGGGGCAACUCACCAGGUCCAGACAUUGACAGGAUCGACAGACUGAUAGAUCUUUCGAGAUCCAAUGAUUGGUGGUGCAUGGCCGUUCUUAGUUGGUGGAGUGAUCUGUCAGGUCUAUUCCGGUAACGAGCGAGACCACGAUCUCUAUUUGAUCGCGGCCGUCCUCUUGAGGAUGGCUGGUCAUAGAGAGACAACCGGAGACAAGCCGGGGGAAGCGUGGCAAUAACAGGUCUGUGAUGCCCUUCGAUGUUCUGGGCCGCACGCGCGCUACAAUGGCAGUGACAACAAGUUUCUGCGUCGAGAGGCGUGGAAAAUCUUGACAAUCGCUGUCGUGAUUGGGAUUGAGCCUUGUAAUAAUUGCUCAUGAAAGAGGAAUUCCUCGUAAGCGCGAGUCAUCAACUCGUGUUGAAUACGUCUCUGCCCUUUGUACACACCGCCCGUCGCUACUACCGAUUGAAUGACUUUUCGAGAGGUCGGGAUUGGGUGCCGCAAGGCGCCUGAGAGCUACCUCGA